Molecule: ribosomal RNA, 497 nt
Filed under: uncultured bacterium
Lineage: Bacteria
Description: partial 16S ribosomal RNA
Rfam family: Bacterial small subunit ribosomal RNA
Source: RNAcentral
GAUGAACGCUGGCGGCGUGCCUAAUACAUGCCAGUCGAGCGAACAGAUGAGGAGCUUGCUCCUCUGACGUUAGCGGCGGACGGGUGAGUAACACGUGGAUAACCUACCUAUAAGACUGGGAUAACUUCGGGAAACCGGAGCUAAUACCGGAUAAUAUAUUGAACCGCAUGGUUCAAUAGUGAAAGACGGUUUUGCUGUCACUUAUAGAUGGAUCCGCGCCGCAUUAGCUAGUUGGUAAGGUAACGGCUUACCAAGGCAACGUUGCGUAGCCGACCUGAGAGGGUGAUCGGCCACACUGGAACUGAGACACGGUCCAGACUCCUACGGGAGGCAGCAGUAGGGAAUCUUCCGCAAUGGGCGAAAGCCUGACGGAGCAACGCCGCGUGAGUGAUGAAGGUCUUCGGAUCGUAAAACUCUGUUAUUAGGGAAGAACAAAUGUGUAAGUAACUAUGCACGUCUUGACGGUACCUAAUCAGAAAGCCACGGCUAACUACGUG